GUCUCUUUGAUUUAUUUUAAUAAAGAGUUGGGCCUGCUCGGUGAUUAAUAUUUAACAGCUGCGGUAUUAUAACUGUACUAAGGUAGCAUAAUAAUUUGCCUUAUAAAUUGAGGCUAGAAUGAAUGGUUUGACGAAAAUUAUACUGUCUCUGUCUUAUUUAUUAGAAGUUAAUUUUUAUAGUGAGAAAGCUUGGAUAAUUUAAAGGGACGAAAAGACCCUAUUGAGCUUUAUAUUAUACUUUAAAAUUAUUUAUUGUUUUUAUUUAAAUAUAAUUUUGGUUGGGGUGAUCAAGGAAUAAAUAAUUAAUUUUAACUUCCUUAAUUUGUUUAUAGUUAUAUGAAUAAACCAAAUUUUUUGCUUAGAAGAUAAGUUACCAUAGGGAUAACAGCGUAAUUUUUUUUGAAAGUUCAUAUUGAAAAAAGAGAUUGCGACCUCGAUGUUGGAUUAAAAUAACCUUAAGGUGAAGAGGCUUUAAUUGGUGAAUCUGUUCGAUUUUUAAAAUUUU
Molecule: ribosomal RNA, 505 nt
Filed under: Amphioctopus aegina
Lineage: Eukaryota; Metazoa; Mollusca; Cephalopoda; Octopoda; Octopodidae
Description: partial 16S ribosomal RNA
Rfam family: Bacterial large subunit ribosomal RNA
Source: RNAcentral